GGCAGAUGAUGUCUGUAUUCACAAUGGUUUUUGUAUGUAUGCUACAGAUACUGCCAAAACAGCCAAAUUGGCAAAAGUUGAUACCAGAAU
Jaculus jaculus (lesser Egyptian jerboa) is the source of this 90-nucleotide small nucleolar RNA. RefSeq annotates it as small nucleolar RNA SNORD35. The record is from RefSeq and is a predicted model, not a curated record. The transcript has a single exon. NCBI's taxonomy places the organism in Eukaryota, Metazoa, Chordata, Mammalia, Rodentia, Dipodidae.